GAGCGGCGUGGAGCAGUGGCAGCUCGUCGGGCUCAUAACCCGAAGGUCGCCGGUUCGAGUCCGGCCGCCGCAACACCA
RNAcentral lists this transfer RNA (78 nucleotides) under Chloroflexota bacterium. RNAcentral describes it as "Chloroflexi bacterium tRNA-Met". It matches the Rfam family "tRNA". Rfam says of the family: Transfer RNA (tRNA) molecules are approximately 80 nucleotides in length. Their secondary structure includes four short double-helical elements and three loops (D, anti-codon, and T loops). The record is from RNAcentral. Lineage: Bacteria; Bacillati; Chloroflexota.